RNAcentral lists this ribosomal RNA (792 nucleotides) under uncultured Methanosaeta sp. RNAcentral describes it as "bacterial SSU rRNA". It matches the Rfam family "Archaeal small subunit ribosomal RNA", at positions 61 to 858 of the family's 1478-position model. Lineage: Archaea; Methanobacteriati; Methanobacteriota; Methanomicrobia; Methanotrichales; Methanotrichaceae. The record is from RNAcentral.
AAUGUAGCAAUACAUGGCGUACUGCUCAGUAACACGUGGACAACCUACCCUCAGGACAGGUAUAAACCCGGGAAACUGGGUAUAAUCCCUGAUAGUCCUCGGACGCUGGAAUGCAUCGAGGACGAAAGCUCCGGCGCCUGAGGAUGGGUCUGCGGCCUAUCAGGUAGUAGUGGGUGUAACGUACCUACUAGCCUACGACGGGUACGGGUUGUGAGAGCAAGAGCCCGGAGAUGGAUUCUGAGACACGAAUCCAGGCCCUACGGGGUGCAGCAGGCGCGAAAACUUUACAAUGCCGGCAACGGCGAUAAGGGGACCUCGAGUGCCAGGUUACAAAUCUGGCUGUCGUGAUGCCUAAAAAGCAUUGCAUAGCAAGGGCCGGGCAAGACCGGUGCCAGCCGCCGCGGUAACACCGGCGGCUCGAGUGGUAACCGUUAUUAUUGGGUCUAAAGGGUCUGUAGCCGGCCGGAUAAGUCUCUUGGGAAAUCCAGCAGCUCAACUGUUGGGCUUUCAGGAGAUACUGUUCGGCUCGAGGCCGGGAGAGGUGAGAGGUACUUCAGGGGUAGGGGUGAAAUCUUGUAAUCCUUGAAGGACCACCAGUGGCGAAGGCGUCUCACCAGAACGGACCUGACGGCAAGGGACGAAAGCUAGGGGCACGAACCGGAUUAGAUACCCGGGUAGUCCUAGCCGUAAACGAUACUCGCUAGGUGUCGGCCACGGUGCGACCGUUGUCGGUGCCGUAGGGAAGCCGUGAAGCGAGCCACCUGGGAAGUACGGCCGCAAGGCUGAAACUUA